GUUCAUGUGAUCCGAGAGGUAGCUUCCAUGGCAAAAGAAAAGCUUGAAGUGUCUUGUGAAGUCAUUGAUCUGAGGACUAUAAUACCUUGGGAUGUGGACACAAUUUGUAAGGUAUUUCUGUUUGUGUAUGGUAUUUGCAGCAACCAACAUCAACAGCUGGUUUGUUCCCUAAUUUUUCAAGUCUGUGAUCAAAACAGGGCGACUGCUAAUCAGUCACGAGGCUCCCUUGACAGGCGG
RNAcentral lists this small RNA (237 nucleotides) under Pongo abelii (Sumatran orangutan). RNAcentral describes it as "processed transcript". Lineage: Eukaryota; Metazoa; Chordata; Mammalia; Primates; Hominidae. The record is from RNAcentral.